UACGUAGGGGGCAAGCGUUGUCCGGAUUUAUUGGGCGUAAAGCGCUCGCAGGUGGUCCGUCGCGUCGUGCGUGAAAGGCCCCGGCUCAACUGGGGAGGGUCGUGCGAUACGGGCGGACUGGAGGCCAGUAGGGGGAUGCGGAAUUCCGGGUGUAGUGGUGGAAUGCGUAGAGAUCCGGAGGAACACCAGCGGCGAAGGCGGCAUCCUGGACUGGUCCUGACACUCAGGAGCGAAAGCGUGGGGAGCGAACAGG
RNAcentral lists this ribosomal RNA (253 nucleotides) under uncultured bacterium. RNAcentral describes it as "partial 16S ribosomal RNA". It matches the Rfam family "Bacterial small subunit ribosomal RNA", at positions 524 to 776 of the family's 1533-position model. The record is from RNAcentral.